This 311-nucleotide ribosomal RNA is filed under the name uncultured eukaryote. RNAcentral describes it as "partial 18S ribosomal RNA". It matches the Rfam family "Eukaryotic small subunit ribosomal RNA", at positions 1470 to 1796 of the family's 1831-position model. The record is from RNAcentral.
CCCUUAGAUGUCCUGGGCCGCACGCGUGCUAAACUGAUGCAUACAGCGAGUACUCCCAGCUCCGAGAGGCUGCUGGUAAUCAGCAAUAUGCAUCGUGAUGGGGAUAGAUCUUUGGAAUUAUAGAUCUUGAACGAGGAAUUCCUAGUAAUCGCAGGUCAUCACCCUGCGUUGACUAAGUCCCUGCCCUUUGUACACACCGCCCGUCGCUCCUACCGAUUUCGAGUGAUCCGGUGAAUCAUUCGGACCGCGGCCCCUAGGCAUGCGGAAAGUCUAGUAAACCAUAUCACUUAGAGGAAGGAGAAGUCGUAACA